GAUGAACGCUGGCGGCGUGCUUAACACAUGCAAGUCGAACGGAAAGGCUCCUGCUUGCAGGGGUACUCGAGUGGCGAACGGGUGAGUAACACGUGGGUGAUCUGCCCUGCACUUCGGGAUAAGCCUGGGAAACUGGGUCUAAUACCGGAUAGGACCACAUUUUGGAUGGUGUGGUGGAAAGUUUUUCGGUGUGGGAUGAGCUCGCGGCCUAUCAGCUUGUUGGUGGGGUAAUGGCCUACCAAGGCGUCGACGGGUAGCCGGCCUGAGAGGGUGUACGGCCACAUUGGGACUGAGAGACGGCCCAGACUCCUACGGGAGGCAGCAGGGGGGAAUAUUGCACAAUGGGAGCAAGCCUGAUGCAGCGACGCCGCGUGGGGGAUGACGGCCUUCGGGUUGUAAACUCCUUUCGCUAGGGACGAAGCGUUUUUGUGACGGUACCUGGAGAAGAAGCACCGGCUAACUACGUG
This 467-nucleotide ribosomal RNA is filed under the name uncultured bacterium. Its description in RNAcentral is "partial 16S ribosomal RNA". It matches the Rfam family "Bacterial small subunit ribosomal RNA", at positions 28 to 507 of the family's 1533-position model. The record is from RNAcentral.